GGUAGAUUAUAAUGCUUUACUUUUUUGUGGAGGGUUGAUUUCUUCCUUGUAAAGAUAAGAGAUUCCUAAACAAACAGGACCCUUAGAGUCCUAUAUAAAUCUUUGUAUCUUUCAUGAAAAACAUAAUGAAUAAUUUUACAAACUUCAUAAAUACUUGUGUCAAUCGCUCCGAGAGGGAGAGGGUGUGAGACCCAAAAUCGCCCCACAAGGGGAGGGUGUGAGGCCCACUUUCUAUCCUAUUCCUUCUACUUAAGAUUCAGUAUUCCUACGACUCUGAUCGACUCCACCAUCUACCCACGCAAGCUUAUUCCGUCAAGAGAGGAUCUGUCUCCUCCAGAAUUUUCAUCUAUCGUGCUGAGAGGAGUGAUUUUUUAUUCUACAGAUCAUAUGCUGUCAAGGACCUUCGUUCCUUAACAGUUGAUCUUUGAUUUUUUUUAAUCCGAUGUUGGUAAAGACUUAGUUCUUUAUCGAUGGAUCUGUUUGGUUAAAAGAUUAAGAGCCCUAAUCAGAGUAGUUUCUUAACUACCACGAUCCGGAUUCUUAUUAUCUUCUUGGAUUUUCUCAUGGGUUUAAUGUUUU
This 579-nucleotide long non-coding RNA is filed under the name Elaeis guineensis (African oil palm). RNAcentral describes it as "long non-coding RNA (EGUI_LNC003639)". Lineage: Eukaryota; Viridiplantae; Streptophyta; Magnoliopsida; Arecales; Arecaceae. The record is from RNAcentral.